GCCUGGGUGGCUUGGUCGGUUAAGCGUCUGACUUCGGCUCAGGUCAUGAUCUCGCGGUUCGUGGGUUCGAGCCCCGCAUCGGGCU
This 85-nucleotide transfer RNA is filed under the name Felis catus (domestic cat). It matches the Rfam family "tRNA". From Rfam's summary of the family: Transfer RNA (tRNA) molecules are approximately 80 nucleotides in length. Their secondary structure includes four short double-helical elements and three loops (D, anti-codon, and T loops). Lineage: Eukaryota; Metazoa; Chordata; Mammalia; Carnivora; Felidae. The record is from Rfam by way of RNAcentral.